Molecule: ribosomal RNA, 492 nt
Filed under: uncultured bacterium
Lineage: Bacteria
Description: partial 16S ribosomal RNA
Rfam family: Bacterial small subunit ribosomal RNA
Source: RNAcentral
AGUGAACGCUGGCGGUAGGCCUAACACAUGCAAGUCGAACGGCAGCACAGUAAGAGCUUGCUCUUACGGGUGGCGAGUGGCGGACGGGUGAGCAAUACAUCGGAAUCUACUUUUUCGUGGGGGAUGACGUAGGGAAACUUACGCUAAUACCGCAUACGACCUACGGGUGAAAGCAGGGGAUCUUCGGACCUUGCGCGAUUGAAUGAGCCGAUGUCGGAUUAGCUAGUUGGCGGGGUAAAGGCCCACCAAGGCGACGAUCCGUAGCUGGUCUGAGAGGAUGAUCAGCCACACUGGAACUGAGACACGGUCCAGACUCCUACGGGAGGCAGCAGUGGGGAAUAUUGGACAAUGGGCGCAAGCCUGAUCCAGCCAUACCGCGUGGGUGAAGAAGGCCUUCGGGUUGUAAAGCCCUUUUGUUGGGAAAGAAAAGCAGCAGGUUAAUACCCCGCUGUUCUGACGGUACCCAAAGAAUAAGCACCGGCUAACUUCGUG